RNAcentral lists this long non-coding RNA (271 nucleotides) under Salmo salar (Atlantic salmon). RNAcentral describes it as "lncRNA (ENSSSAG00000087642.1)". The record is from RNAcentral. Lineage: Eukaryota; Metazoa; Chordata; Actinopteri; Salmoniformes; Salmonidae.
GUAGUAGUAGUAGUGGUAUGGGUGGUAAUGGUAAUGAUAGCAGUUUAGUGGGGGUGGUGGUAGUAGUAGUGGUAUGGGUGGUAAUGGUAAUGAUAGCAGUUUAGUGAUGGUGGUGGUAGUAGUAGUGGUAUGGGUGGUAAUGGUAAUGAUAGCAGUUUAGUGAUGGUGGUGGUAGUAGUAGUGGUAUGGGUGGUAAUGGUAAUGAUAACAGUUUAGUGAUGUAGUAGUAGUAGUAGUGGUAUGGGUGGUAAUGGUAAUGAUAGCAGUUUAG